This is a long non-coding RNA of Arabidopsis lyrata subsp. lyrata, 899 nucleotides long. RefSeq lists it as uncharacterized. Lineage: Eukaryota; Viridiplantae; Streptophyta; Magnoliopsida; Brassicales; Brassicaceae. The transcript has 3 exons. The record is from RefSeq and is a predicted model, not a curated record.
AGCAAUAAAAAUAAUCAAAACUAAUCAAAACCACGAAGAAUUGCUAAGAUAUAUAUCUUAAAUAAGAUGUUUUUGAGAUGUUAAGAUGUGCAUACGUGUCGACUAAUGAGUGGGCGAAAAAAUGAACAAAAGGAAAAAAAAUGCUUCCGACACGUCUUCGAUUUCAUCUCUUUUUCUCUAUUUCUCGAAUCCUCCGACGACGAAAUCUCUCCAACGCAUCUUGAUCCGUCGAAUUGAGAGGAAAAAUUAGGCAGAAUUUCCGCCGCCGUAACGCCGUUGUUUUCUCCACGAAGCUUGAUUUUUUGAUUUUAGAUAGAUUUUGAAUUAACCUUUUUAGACGUAAUUGGAAAUUUCAUCGCCGCGGAGGAGAUGAGGAGCGUGUUGUUGUGGAUUGCGGUGGUCGUGUGCUUGUUAUGUUCAGUCGCGGCGGUGGUUCAAAGCGGAUUUAGCCAUUGUUUUUUUGAAACGAGAGAUACUGAGACUGCGAUAUCUUUGCUGGAGAAUAAAUUGAUCGGUUCCAAUGGUACCUCUCACCUUGAUUCAGGCAGCUGACUCUAAAGGAGCUGGUUCAGUCUUCGAUGUUGCCAUUGUAUCAAGUAGAUCAAACUCUUUGUUGUUUGUGCAUUGCUUUCUUCGAGGGGACAAAACCGAGAGAAUCUGUGAGCGGAAGUUAGACGGUAACAACGUCGGGUUGGUUUGGAAAAGAUGUUGAAUGAAUGGCUCAGAUUUGGUUGAAGUGAUGAAUGUUUAAGUUCUUCCUCUUUCAUUUGCAAAAAAGCUUGUAUGAGUUUGGUUGUAUGAAUGCUUGUAUUAGAAGAUAUUGUUUUGCAAAAUUUGAAUUUGUUUUAUCUUAAGAACCCAUUGAUUCUUAACCAUUGGAAGGCAAAUUUGUUAAGAUC